This 445-nucleotide ribosomal RNA is filed under the name uncultured bacterium. RNAcentral describes it as "bacterial SSU rRNA". It matches the Rfam family "Bacterial small subunit ribosomal RNA", at positions 354 to 796 of the family's 1533-position model. The record is from RNAcentral.
GUAGGGAAUAUUGGACAAUGGGCGAAAGCCUGAUCCAGCCAUGCCGCGUGAUAGAUGAAGGCCCUCUGGGUUGUAAAUAUCUUUUAUCUGGGAAGAAACUCCUCUAUUCUUAGAGGCCUGACGGUACCAGAGGAAUAAGCACCGGCUAACUCCGUGCCAGCAGCCGCGGUAAUACGGAGGGUGCAAGCGUUAUCCGGAUUCACUGGGUUUAAAGGGUGCGUAGGCGGGUUGAUAAGUCAGUGGUGAAAGCUCCGGGCUUAACUUGGAAACUGCCAUUGAUACUGUCAGUCUUGAAUGUCGUAGAGGUAAACGGAAUGUUGCAUGUAGCGGUGAAAUGCUUAGAUAUGUUACAGAACACCAAUUGCGAAGGCAGCUUACUAUGCGAUAAUUGACGCUGAGGCACGAAAGCGUGGGGAGCAAACAGGAUUAGAUACCCUUGUAGUCC